UUUCUUGCUGAGUGACCUUUGCUCAUUCCUUUGGUCACUCAAAUGCCGAGUACCUUUUGCGCCAGUUAUCCCAAAAGCUUUCCGUUCAACCAGAUGGCCGAGUGGUUUAAACUCUGCUCUUGAGGUGAGCCAGCACAGGAGAUCGGGGAGAGCCAGCCGCACGAAUCUCGCGAAGAGUUUCGCGUUUUCGCGGUUCGGAGGUGAUGAGAUCGUGGAGGUGAUAAAGCGGUCUAGGGGAAUGACAAGCUAUUGUCCAGGGUUGGUAACCGUGAGAGGGAACGGAAUUUGGAACUGAAGCCUCUCAUAAGUCUCGGCGUUCUGAUGACGCGCCCAACGGUUCACUUUUAUCAGUUCCGCGGAAGAGGCACCAGUGGCCCUCGAUUGUGCGCGUCUCGUGAUUAAAUUCUAGUUUAGCGAGAUUUAGUAGUUCGAACUAGUGCCGUGUCGUGUGCAUGUGUGAAAUUCUGCCGUGCAUGUGCGUUCCAGAAAUCCUGGUAAGUGCUGUCGUUGGCCACCUCGUGGUCACCUGCCCAGGGCGAAGCCUAACAUCUAUCCCGUGACCAGCUCUGCAUCCACCGCCACGCUCGUCACAGACGGCCCGAACUACCGGGGACCUGCUACCGCUUCGAUCCGGCCGCAACGCCCACGCCGCCGAAGGCCAGCGCUCGCCAAACUGCGCUAGGCAGCGGAACUGUACGGCCACGCCGUAACAGGACAGCAGCAACCGUCACCGCAGCGUCCUUGAAAUAACCGCCAUCGCGAUCAACAUCCGCCAUCGCGAUCGCCAACUGCCAUCAACCUAACCUGGAAGGUUAGGAAACCACGUGAGUGAGUGAAGAGGGAGAGAAGUCCGGCUUCGAAGGCGGACACGCGAACCGGCAACCAACAAUCAGCUAACCAGCGUUCCAGCCGAGCAGCAGCAGCAGAUCUUCAAAAGUAGGUCGUCGAGGUUCCCUCGCAGGUGCGACCAACCACGUGCUCGAGCCCCGUCCGGUGUUAACCGGAGAACAGCAACAGCAGCAGCAGCAAGUGAUGACGUCGUAGACGCCGUCCGCAGCGAACACCAACCGAUCGUUCAGAGUUUCUUCGAAACCAGCAGCAGCAGCAGUACAGGUAUCGAGACGACCACGUGAUCGUCGACCGCGAACGCCAAGCAAACUGUGAGUAAAGCAUGCACUAGUGGUAAGACCAUGGCCCACACCUUUUCGCCCGCUACCAACCUUACCAACUAAGUAGCGCGGCGCUGCGCGUCGAGAUUGUUCCGACACGUCAAAAAAUGAAUACAUAAAACGCACAUAGCACACACACCUAAACCGGAAGAAGAAGAAA
Molecule: long non-coding RNA, 1329 nt
Organism: Culex quinquefasciatus (southern house mosquito)
Lineage: Eukaryota; Metazoa; Arthropoda; Insecta; Diptera; Culicidae
Exons: 2
Source: RefSeq, a predicted model, not a curated record